GCAUACACUGUAAAAGUGAAAUUUGCUAAAUGAAGUUAAUUUAACUCAAAAAAUGUAAAAGAUAAUUUCAACUUAAUUUGUGAUUUGAACUCAAAGGCUAUUUAGGUUAAGCAGAACUCAAGCUAAAUAAAUUACUAUAAAUUAAUUUAAUCUACCACACAGUCUAUGAUUUUUACGUAUAAAUGGCUGACCACAAAAUAUUUAAAAGCAAAAUGAGCAUAAUUCAUGAUUUCAAACAUGUUUAAAGUAAUUAAUUUGACUCGACAAAAUAUUAGCCGCGCGCAUUUUUCAGUCAGUCGCAUCCACACUCCGCUCAUCCCCCGCGGGACCGCGCUCACUCACUUACACCGAUCACAGCAGGACUACUGGCGACGUGGUCACGGAAAAUAACAGGUAACGGUAAGCAUUUCGAGCUUCUUUAUUCCCAUUUAAAGCGCUUUUGAACGUUUUUGUUUUACUGUCAACUUGAUUUGAAAAUUAUCCAGCUUAGUUAUCAUAAUGUGUGUAACUUUAGCUAAGGUUAGCAAGGAGCUAACGCACCAUUACAUCAGUUAUCAACGGAAAGUGUUAAAUAUGGAUUGUUAUACACAACAGUUCGUAAGUGGUAAAUUAAGAAAUAUUUUUGGUUUUCGGACACAAACGAGUCCCGCAAAAUGUAUUUUUAAACUAAGGUUAGAGAGACGGCUGACAGCAUCUUCGUCAUCUCUAACCGUCACUCCCGCCACAGAUCUGAAGCAAGGUAAAGCCAACACACAUUCCCUGUAUUAAAACACGUUUAAACUUCUUGUUAAUUGUUAUUGAUUAUCUGUAAGUUUCAUCUAAGAUGUCCAUGUGAUGUUGAUCAAGUUUACUAAAUCCGCCGAAGGGUAAACAAAGGGGCUGAAGAGCGUUUACAAUGGCUGUUAAACCUCAGUUAACAUUUUACACUGUUAUUUGCUCCUCACAUUGUCUUAUUUAAAACUCAUUCUAACAAAUUGUUGUCAUACUUUGAAAUCAAUGUUUUCAGUGCAAAGGCAGCGGAGGGGUGGUGUGAUGUCAUUGGCAUCAGGAAGGCUGCUCUACUAAUAUGGGCCUGAACUGAAGAACAAUAUCAGUCAUUCAAGCUAUGAUCCUGGCAGAUCUACACACAAGACACACAAGAAGCGCUGCAGGUGCGUGAUGUGAUUUGAAGACCAUGUGAAUCCUAAUGUUCUGUUGUUUGCUGCUUUUUGCGCAUGUAAAAUGAAUCCCCGGGAAACAAAUGUUAGUAUUUUAAUGGGUCACAGACACUGAUCCUUUCUAAUUUAAUUCAAUUCUAAUUUAAAAUAAUCUUGUCUGUUAAUGGUUAAUAAUCGGUUAACGACCGUUGGUUGUUGGUUAGGAAAAAUAACCAAAAUGCUUCACGCCUCCAAGUCAUAAUGUAAUCGUCACUAGAGUUACAGUGCCAAACUGCAGCAUUGAGAUACAGUACAUACCACAGUAUGACAUGUAAACAGUUGUCCUCAGAAUGUCCCCACACCCAAAGUCAAUUAAUUUGACUUCAAGUGUCUCGUUGUUGAUGAGAAGGUUGCUCAGUUUAAUGUCACGGUGGAACACGUCGUGCUGGCAGCAUACGUUCACAGCCUGAGCUGCCUGUCUCAUGACUUGCCGUGCUAAGCUCUCAUUGAGACUUCCACCCUGACGCCCCACAAAGUCUUCCAAAGUCUUGCAAGGAGAGGGACAUUCGAGGAUUAUGACGAAAUGGUCAUCGUAGUCCUUCCAGUCCAGCAGCUGGAUGAUCUCUGCCACUCUGGGGCCUUUAUUUGCCAGGAUUGUGAGGGCGAUCUCCAUUGGAAGAAGUUGCCGAUACCCAGGCUAAAAGAAAGACAGUUAUUAUGAUGGGAAGAUAGAAGUCGUUUUCCAAAUGAGGAUUUAGUCCAAUCUUGGACAAGUUACUCUACUGAAAGAAAUAACUGUCUUUGUUAUAAUUGUUAAUAAGAGAUGUUUUUUUUGUUUUUUUUUUUUUUUAACAGAGAAGAAGUGCAUCUUACAAUGUUUACACCUUCCACGUCUUCAUCGGUCUUGUUAAGAUGUUUCACAGACACCUGAUCAAGAAAAUGAAAAAGUUAACUUGCGUGUAGAGGCCUCAUCAUUACUGUCAUGAAAUCUAUGUUACAUUUUGUUUGCUAGUUGUGGAAGUUUUCAUUCAUCUUUUACUUACUUCAGGGUCAUCCUCCAAAUGUCUCACCUCAGCGUCAAAUCCACCUUCACAUAGCUGAUCACCCACCUGGUUCUGGCUGACGGUGUCGUCUGUUAAAAGAUAAAAGUAUUUUUAAACAUAUCCUGGAUCUUGCCCUUAAUCAGUCUUCAAGUUUCUUUAUUUUUUAAUUGUGUGGAUUUUUUUAAUAUUUAAAAUUCACCUGAUCUAACUUAUCUAUAUUGAGGAAACAUUAAAAAGUUAGGAAAAGGCUAUUGAAGAUUAAAUAAGAAAGCUAUUAUAAUCUAUCCUCUAGAUUAAUUUACUAGAAUGGGAUAUCUAGGUAUAAAUGAUGACUUUUUGAUCUAACGUACAGAGCUUUGUGCAACAUAUUCUUAUGAGGUGAUCGUUUCAUUUACCAUCACUGCAUCUGGCUUCACAUUCGUUCUGAGGCUUCACUCCCUCACUCUGCUCUUGCUCUUGCUGCAGCACUACUUCACCCUGAACUGGGUUCGAGCUGCCCUUCAGAUGUUUCUUCACAGCUCCAAAGAAAGAAGUCAACCUCCACCACUUCCUUUUCUUCUUCACUUUCUCCAUCACCCUACACUCCUGGCCGUUUCCCUCAGCAGCAUCAGCAGUGGUCUCGUGAGGAUGUUGUUCCUCUGUGCUGCUGGGUUUUGGGGGGGUGCUGAGAUCGCACCCCUGACUCUCCGCCAACGGAUGAACUUGAGAAGCUCGCUUAUACAUUGUCUUCAAAAUCACUGAAGAUAACUGAUCAGUUUCACUCACCACUGCUACUAAACCCACAAAAUGCAUCAAUUUCAUGGCCUUGAAAGUUCUACGAAUUCUUC
Long non-coding RNA from Cyprinus carpio (common carp), 3006 nucleotides. RefSeq lists it as uncharacterized. The record is from RefSeq and is a predicted model, not a curated record. The transcript is spliced from 3 exons. NCBI's taxonomy places the organism in Eukaryota, Metazoa, Chordata, Actinopteri, Cypriniformes, Cyprinidae.